UGGCUCAGAGGUUAAGAGCAUUGGUUGUUCUUCCAGAGAACCUGGGUUCAAUUCCCAG
Molecule: transfer RNA, 58 nt
Filed under: Cricetulus griseus (Chinese hamster)
Lineage: Eukaryota; Metazoa; Chordata; Mammalia; Rodentia; Cricetidae
Source: Rfam by way of RNAcentral